CCUACGGGAGGCAGCAGUGGGGAAUAUUGGACAAUGGGCGAAAGCCUGAUCCAGCAAUGCCGCGUGAGUGAUGAAGGCCUUCGGGUCGUAAAGCUCUUUUACCAGGGAUGAUAAUGACAGUACCUGGAGAAUAAGCUCCGGCUAACUCCGUGCCAGCAGCCGCGGUAAUACGGAGGGAGCUAGCGUUGUUCGGAAUUACUGGGCGUAAAGAGUACGUAGGCGGUUAUUCAAGUCAGAGGUGAAAGCCCGGGGCUCAACCCCGGAACUGCCUUUGAAACUAGAUAACUAGAGUCUUGGAGAGGUUAGUGGAAUUCCGAGUGUAGAGGUGAAAUUCGUAGAUAUUCGGAAGAACACCAGUGGCGAAGGCGACUAACUGGACAAGUACUGACGCUGAGGUACGAAAGCGUGGGGAGCAAACAGGAUUAGAUACCCUGGUAGUCCACGCCGUAAACGAUGAUAACUAGUUGUUCGGUCACUUGGUGACUGAGUGACGCAGCUAACGCAUUAAGUUAUCCGCCUGGGGAGUACGGUCGCAAGAUUAAAACUCAAAGAGUAUAGCGNGUGAGAGNGACGAGACGACAGAGGAGGAG
Molecule: ribosomal RNA, 590 nt
Filed under: uncultured bacterium
Lineage: Bacteria
Description: bacterial SSU rRNA
Rfam family: Bacterial small subunit ribosomal RNA
Source: RNAcentral